This 30433-nucleotide long non-coding RNA is filed under the name Vitis vinifera (wine grape). RNAcentral describes it as "long non-coding RNA (VVIN_LNC000658)". Lineage: Eukaryota; Viridiplantae; Streptophyta; Magnoliopsida; Vitales; Vitaceae. The record is from RNAcentral.
UGAGUAAGUAUUCUGAGGGGGCCUGAUGUAGAGGAUUUUAUUCAAAGUUCUAGGAUCAUUCACAGCUUUGAUGGUAUAGGUGCCAAUGUCAUCCUCCUUGUUAAAAACAGCUGGAGAUGCAAAAACGAAACAGGUAAGAUAGGAGUUGAACCAUUUUCCUUUACCUUAGAAUCUUGGGACUGCUCAGGUCUCUUUGUCAUUAUAUAUAUAUAGAUCAAAAACUCACAGCUGGAAAGCCAACUCCAGAGAACUGUUGACUCAAUAAAGGAGGCUUAGCCCAUCCAAUUCAGUUAAAAACAGAAGGUCAAUAAUGAUUAAUAACUGGAAAUGCAUGAUGAUUCCUUCAGUUCAACAUCAUGUUAGUUGCCUGGGUUAUAGCUCAAUUGCACUGUUGCACCCAAGCAGCAUACCCAACUGCUGGAAGGCUUUGUUUCUGAGUGAACAGGUUUGGUCAGCUGGAGAAGGGGGGAGUGAGGAGGGAUUUUCCAGGUUUAGAAUGGCUACAUUCUGAUCUGAAGGAAUGUAGGCCAUUCUCACCUCAACAACUUUGGCAACCCUGGCUGGAGAAGAUAAUAUGCAGAUACCAGUUUAUGAAAUGGUAAAUUAACAGUCACAUGGAUUUCAUGGUCAUUGAAAUAACUUUUCAUUAGAAUUAUUGUUCACACCCAUUACCAUUGGAUGUUUCAGAGCAGAUGCACCAGUGUAUUUUAAUGUCAAAAGGACAAAAUGCAACAGGGAAGUUCAACUCUUUUAUCAUUUUCAGAAAGGUUGCUUACCCUUUGGAUUCCCAUCUCCUAGAAUAAUAACUUUAUCUCUUGGGGGAGUAGUGGCUCCAGGCUGUGACAAUGAAGGAAGGAAAUAGCCAGCAAAGAAGUUGGAGGAUACAUAGGUGUAGGGAAUUCCUUCAGCCUCAAUAGUGCGGCGGAUUUGAGCCUUAGUUGCAAAUGCUGUUUUUGCUGGCUCAACAGCAUGGACACGGUCCACAUCAUUUCCAAACUCUGAUGGGAAGAAUCUCUAGACAAAAUAAAGCACUUUGAGACAAUGUAUGAAAAACCAGUUAUAUCUAUUCAGUCAUGAUAGCUCACAGACACAGAUCAUAUAUGGGAUAAAUGUUAACAAGAUGAUACAAGUGUUCUACAAGGAUAAAGUUGUCAUGCAAUUAGUACUUGGAAUGGUGGAAGGAAAGAGUGCACUGAUCAGGAUACUUACAUGUAAAGAAAAAAAAUUAAAUGAAAGGGAAGAAAAGAACUACAAAACUUCAUUCUGUAUCAAAUCACUUCAACAUCAAUUUUCAUCUUUUAUUAUUUAAUUAUAAUCCCUAGGGAGUGAUUUCAAAACAUUUGGCAGGAUUUAAUCAGGCUAAAUAGAACAACCACCAUUAGAGAAUAAUGCUAUGUAUCGUUGAAAAAUUAUCCAUAUCCAAUGACAGGCUCAGCUGCAUAGUUAAGUAACAGAUAUGGAUCCAUCAUCUCAUAGGGUAAAUAUUAAGUUCUUAUGGUUCUCCAUUCAACAUAAAGUUCAACAGCACCCAUUCUAGAAGAAACAAUUUGGAGCUCCUGACCUCAUUGUGAAGUGACAUCCAGCCACAUCUCCAUUAUGAGAGAUCUAGACAUCUGAGUCUCAGGGUUCCUUUUGCAGCUUUACAAAAGUGGCGAAGGGACUAUCUUAUGGUAAAGGCUUAUUGUUAUACUAACCAAAAGAAGGAAAUAGCCAUACUUCAGUACUACUUGAAGAGCUAAUAACAUCUCUAAAAUUUGAGGUUUUUUGAUUCCUUUUCCUAUGCUCUUUGAAAAUAUAGGAUUUUUAUUGUAUGUAGAUGAAAUUGUCUUUUAUGGCUUUCAGCAAAUGAUUUCUAUAAGAGUAGCCUCGUCUGAGGGGUUUAAUCAUUUCUAAAAAAAUAAAUUAUUUCCCAAACCAAAUAUUUGAUUAUGAUAAUCAAAAUAUGGGUUAUAUUAUGGCCCUGAAAGCAGUACACAAUAAACCCCAUUUCAGCUGGGAAGAAUAGAUCAAUUGUAAUCAGGCUACAUCAAGAAUUAAAAGCAAUUUUCAAACAUCUAAUAGCUGAGAUUGAGUGGGUUAUGGUACCUUUUUCUUGGAAAAGAACACUCAACUCAAUCCAACCUCACUGAAAUACCAUAGAUCUAGCAAGAAAAGAAUGUUAAGGUCUUUCAUGCACUUUCAAAGACUCUUUUAACAUUUCUAAGGAAGGUGAUAUCAUAUCAUGCACAAAGGAUAAAGAUAUUUGCGACAAAUGAUUACAAAUGCCAAUAAUAAAUAAAUAUCACAGUACUAGGAUCUGCAAAGAAGGGAGAAAUGACAAGGAGAAGCUGAGAAAUUGCAUCAGUUCGGACGGUUAUACCUUAACAUUUCCAGCUUCUUUGAUGGCAGCAAUGAUCUUCACUUGAUCCGGCAACUGUGCGUGGCCAACCGUGGAGAUCACAACAUCUACUUGCUUGAUCGCCUUCACCAAACUCUCGUGAUCGUAUAGAUCUCCCUGAAACAUAACAUAACCAAUCAAUAAACUAUUUCAUAACCCUAAUUCUCCAAUUAAGAAGUAAGAAUCCAAAGAUAGGUGUAUUUUUCCAGUUCACUGAAACCAAACAACUUAAAACAAAAACAUCCGAACUUUUCUUUUCCUGAGGAUCGCCAAUUUUUUCUUUCUGGAUGAGUGAAGAAUUUCAGUUUUCGUUUUUUUAGGAACUUCAAGAUCCAAAAAAUUCUAGAACUCCAACAAAUUUCGUUAAUUUUCCCGGCGGCAAUAAGAAGCAAAAAUUGGAAAAGCAAGAAUGGCGAGAAAAGAGAGCGAAUAGAACGUACAUAAACCAAAGUCACGCCAGAGCUCUUGAAACUCUCAAUGAUUUCAAACUUCUCCGAAACUGUGGAUUCUCUGACGAGAGCGAAGGUAGGGUGACCGGACUUAGCGCUGGCAGCGACGAUAAACUUUCCGAUGUAGCCAGUGCCGCCGAUGAUGAGAAUCUUGCUCUUUUCGGACAUUGUUAACUUUUUUCGGGCGAAUCUCCGGCGAGAUAUGUGGAAUGAGAAGACUAAGAUGAAAGGUCGCGGGGAAGUGGAUGGGCUCCAAAGACCAAGGACGACGAUCUUAUAGGACUGAGGAAAUUAAGAUUGUGUAAUUACGGAACUAGCCUUGUGUUUGAGCCGUAACUUCCGUUUUGGCUAUAUUUUGUAUGCGGCUUCAUUUUUAUGUGAUUCACGAAUGUGUCCAAGUUCAUUUGUUUGACACUUGGUUGGAAUCAGUCAAAUUACAAAACUACCAAAUGUUUGGUUUGGAAAGCGAAAAAGUGUACAAUCCGUUAGUAGAGGGAAAAAAAAUGUGUUUUGAGUAUAAAAUUAAUUAUAAAAUAUUAAUUUUUUAAAAAUAAUUUAAGUUUCGUGCAUUCAUCGAUUAAAAAUAAUACUUAAAAUAGUUAAUAGUAAUACCUAUAUCAUUAAAAUAUAGUACUUAAAUUAUCAAAGAUAAUACCUUUUGAUAGCGAAAAAUCCUCCAUUGAUAAUAGGAAGAUAUCUUCUACUGAAAUCAAAAAUAAAUUUUUCAUCAAAAUCCCUAUUUUACAUUCAAAUGUAUAUUCCAUCUAUGCAUUUAUCUCUUCCUUUGCAUUUAUCGUUUCAAUAUUCUCUUAAUUUUGUUCCAUUUUUAUAGACUUACACAUAUAUUCUUUUAAAUAUCAGACCCGUUUUACCUUUAAUUAAAAAGUAUAUGAAAUAAUAAUUAUUUUUAGAUAAUUAUAUAAAAUUUAUAAUUAUAUAAAUUGAGUUUUGAAAAAGCAUGAGAGAGAAAGGAAAAAGAUAUUGGUUUAAUUAAGGCAUACAAGUCGGUCUUCUUGAAGGGUAGUUAGAUUCCCUACCUAAACUCAGUCUUCUUUUUUAUUGCUAUGAAACUUCUUGCCAAGUUCCAAGUUUUUAGUCAAUGGAUUUAUUAAAUUCUGGUAUGACUUGGUGGGGUGUGUAGUAAUUAGUCUACGGGAGAGUCAUUAUUAAUAUGAAGCAGGGAUUAUUAUAAUAUUUUACUACAUUUCCAAUAGCAAAUGCUACCUCGAAGAAGUUACACGUCACAGCGAGACGCUCGAGAACUUUCGCAGAUUCCAAGACUUGACUUUCAAGCGAGCCAAAAGCCUUGGAUAUCAGAUUCCAAUUGGAAUGGUUAAACCUUUUCAAAUGUUUUCCAUAUAAUUUUAUUGGUUAAAAAAUAAUUAUAAAAGGGUUAUUUGAUUAAAAGGACAUUAAAAAUCUAAUCCUUUAUUUUUUUUUUAAUUAUAUUUUGAUUAAAAUGCCUUAUUCUUUUCUUGUAAAAAUAAUUUUUUUAAAACCUAUAUAUAAAUAAUUAAAAUAAUUAAGAAUAUUUAUGUAAAAAAUAAUUAUUUAAAAAAAAACAAAAAAAAUGUUAAGUUCAUAAAUUUGAAAAUUAUUUCAUCAUUUUAACCAAUCAAUUCAUUAUAAAACACUAAAAUCUCUUUUAAAAACACGACUUCUCUUUUUAAAUUUAAAUACAUGCUUACCCAGUAAAAUGAUUACCUUUUUCCAAAGUUUUUACUAUAAUUUGAUCCGAUAAAAAAAAUGAUAAUUAUAAGAGGAUGUUUAAUAAAUCAACUUAAUGAGUUAAAGAGAUUUAAUAACUCAAUUUAAAUUAUUAAGUAGAUUAAACAUGUUCGAUAAAAUAACUUAAUCUCACCACUAAUAUUUAAAAAGAGCUUUAAGUAUUCGGUCAAAAUAAUUAAUUUAAUUUUAAUUUUAAUUUUAAUAUUUUUUGUCUUAUUUACCUACAUGAACACAUAUUUAACAAUCAUAAUAUUAUAGUAAUAUGCUAAAUAUUUAAAUAUUUUAAUUAUAUUAUAUACUAAUAUGCUAAAUAUUUAAAAGCGUUACUCGUAAUUAAUAAUAUUAUAUAUUACUAUUAUCAUUAUAAAUUUUAUUAUACAUACAUUUAUUAAGAAGAAUACAUUUAUGAUGUCAGCUAUACUUAAGGAUUGUUGUAUUUAAUAUACAAAAGUGUGGGAAGAUGCGAUCGGGGUAUUUAAUAUAUAUAUUACUUCAUUAUGACAUACAUAUAAAAUAAAUAAAAGGUGGAUUCCACUUAUUCUACCUACCAUUCAUGGACCAUAUAAGAUAUAUUAUUUUAUCUUUUUAUCUUAUAUUAUAUUAGAUUAUAUUUAACAAACUAAACAAGACAUAAAGGACAACCGUUGUAUCAAAUUUCAAACUUGAAUAGUUCAUGAACUAAGCAUCAUUGCCUUUUCUUGUCUCAAUAGAAUAAGCCUUUUAAUUGUUUUAUAUACAUUUAUUUCUUCAUCAAGCCUGUUUCUUUCAAGCUCCCUCUCUUGAGCUAGAAAUAUUAUAGUAGGAGCUAGGUGUUCCUUUCUGUAUAGCUCCAUCUCUAAUCAGGUAUCAGAGAAGAUAAAAAAUCUAAUUCCAGAAACUUCUACUUGGAUAAGAUUAGAAAGGCACAUUGUCCUACUACAGAAUAUGCCCAAUGGCAUAGACAAGGAAAUAACCCACUAUUUUCCACACAACAUAAAUUAAGACAGCCACACAUGUUUGCUUAUUUAGAUAGUGCAGCAUGAAAAUGAAAAAGUUGAAAACUACCAGGACCAGAGUCUAACCUCAUCCUAUUUGACAUCAGGAUAUAGCUCUGAAGCCUCCACUCCAAAUGAUGGCUCGAUCUCGAAGUUGGUCUGGUCACCCUUAACAAAAACAGAGUGAUCGAUCGAUAAUAUUGCGUUGAGUGGAGCUGAGGCUUCUGCAAGAAACAGUGGAAAACCCAUUAAUCUAAAGGUCUUAGCCAUCAUUAACAGAUCAACUAUAUAAACGGAUUUUGGAGCCAAAAUGGCCUCUAUGGCUGAAAAAUUAUCCUUUGUGGAGACCUUCUUAAACUUAUUAUCAAGGUAGACCUCUUCAUGUCAAGCAGGAGUCAUUAAAUUAAUUUUUUCCUUUUUAAACUUAAGUUGAAACCACGUUUUGAAAAGGGUUUUUGCAUGCAUGGGUCAAAAUAAUUAUCAAAUUGCAAAAAUGACCCCUCUCUUUAGUUUUAUUGAGAGAUGUUCCUCUUUAAACACUUUUACCCUUUCAGAAAGAUCAUCUCCCUACUUAUUUUAUUCAUUCUAUACAUUUCUCAAUUUCUCCAAUCUCAUUUAUCUUUUCAGUUCAUUUUUUUUUUUUUAUCUCUCUUCUUCCUAACUCUCUGAGUCUCUUGCAUUACCAUGACUUCAGUUUUAAGUGUGACCACCAACUUAAUUUUUUCAUUUUUCUGGCCUUAUCUUAAACUUGCUUUGUUUCUUUUUCAAUGGAUGACACUCUAGGAAAACUUGAUCUCAUUUCAUAAUGUCCCACCCAAUUUUCUUAUCUCUCAAACAACUCCUCAUUCUCAUUCUUGAUGUUCAACUGAAGUGUUAAGUUUUAUUUAUUACGAAUUUAACUAAGGUUAAAUUUUGAUUGAGAAUGAUAAGCUAAAUUACACAAGUGUUACGUUUGGUUGCAAAAAACUUAAUUAGAGUUAAAUUUUCAAUCAUAAUAGUAAUAUGAACCCCGCUAAGUUAAGUUUUAUUUACAAAAGACUUAUGUGGGGUUAGAUUUCUAUUUCAUUUACAAAGGACUUGAUUAUGGUAACCUGAACUAUACUCUGGUUAAGUUUCAUUUAAAAAUAACUUAAUUAGGGUUAAGUUUUUGUUUCACCUACAAAGAACUUGAAAAAGAUCAAGGUCUUGUUAAAAUGCUCAUUUUCACUUAACUACCGAAACAUAGGGCUCGAUAAAAAUAGAGUUGGAUAAGAGAUUUAGUAAAUAACAGCUUUCUAUUCAAUCUCAUCUUCGACGUUGUAGAAGUUCAAAUGAAAUUGCAAAAUAAUCCUAACAAAAAAAAUUAGAAAAAACCCUAACAAAAAACAAUGACAUAAAACCCAACUAAAAAGAAAGAGAAAGAUGAGAUUCGAUCUCAUCUUCGCCAUUAUAGAAGUUUACAUGAAACUCCUAACAAAAAACAACGACAAAAAACCUCAACAAAAAGCUUCAUCCAAAAACAACGAGAAAAAACGCUAACUAGAAACAAAGAGAGAGAUGGAGAUCUGACCUCAUCUUCUAUAUUGUAGAAGUUCAAAUGAAGCUGCAACCAAACAAAAAACAACUCCUAAAAUUUGAAAUGUAAAGGGCUCUAAUGUUUGUUCAGGGGUUUGGACUUCACUGGAAAAAGAGAUGGAACAUGAACUUAGAGAGAAGGAAGAACCUAGAGAGAAGGAGAAAGCUAGGUAUCAAAAAUAGAAGGAACAUUUUUGGAGGAAGUAAAGAAGAGUAAAAAUGUCCAAAAUUGGUCAUUUCUCUAAAGAAUGAAUAAGGGAAGUCAUUAUUUCGAUUUUAAAAGUAUUUUAGUCGACUUCAAUCGAGGUCUGGGGCAUGAUCAGCAGAUUUUACCAGCAGUCCAGGUAACAUUUUCUAACUCAAAACAAUUGAAUCAAAAACCAAUUUCAUUUAAACAAUCUAGCAUAAAGGGAAUGUCAUAUUCACAAUCUCUGUUCCAAUUUAAAUUCACUAGGAAAACCAAAGCUUGAACACUUCCAAAAAGGAAAAUGUUUCUCACUAACCUUGGAUGUUCUUCAGUCACUCUGGAACACAUGUUUCUUUAUUUAAUGGUGCAGCAUGAGAAUGAAAACUACCAGAACCAGGAAGUACCUCUCACACAAACUGGUUGAGGUACUCAUCCACAGUUGUGUAUUUGACAUCAGGAUAUAGCUCUGAAGCCUCCACUCCAAAUGAUGGCUUGAUCUCAAAGUUGGUGUGGUCUCCCUUAACGAAAACAGAGUGACAGAAUGCUAACAUCACAUUGAGUGGAACAGAGGCUUCUGCAAGAAACAGAGGAAAACCAUCAAUCUGAAGACAUUUACCAUCAUUAAAACAUCAACUAUAUGAACAGAGUUUAGGGCCAAAAAAUGGCCUCUGUGGUAAAAAAAUUAUCCUAUGUAGGAACCUUCCCUAACUUACCAUCAAACUAGAACUCUUGAUGCCACCUAGGCACAAUUUUUUAUUUUUUCCCUUUUUUAGUCAUAGGUUGAAACUGCAUUUUGAAAAUGCGGUUUCUGAUUUUAUGUGAAGCCACAUUUUGAACAAUGGCUUGAAACAUGAUCCAAACUCAAUAUCAUUUGACCAAAACAGGCCUUUUUUACCCAAAGUUCAUAUAAACACGUGAUACUUCCAAGUUCAACCAACUCCUCUUUCUUUCUUCUUUUUAUUCCCUUCUUUUUUCAAAUCCAAUGAGCAAUAGUGAAUUGUUAGUCUGUCAUAUGAAUCUCUUAGGAAGACCUUAAUCACGGUCUGGGGCAUGAUCACCAGAUUUUACCAGUAGGCCAGCUAACAUUUUCUAAGAAAAAAGAAUUGAAUCAAGAACCAAUUACAUUUUAACAAUGCAGCAUAAUGGGAAUGCUCUAUUCCCAAUCUCUGUUCCAAUUUAAAUUACUAGGAAAACCAAAGUUUGAACAGUUUCAAAAAAUGAAAAUGUUUCUCACUAACCUUGGAUGUUCUUCAGAACUUGCUCCUCUGGAACAUAUAUCUUCUCAAGGGUUUUUCCAAUCUUCUUUUCCCAUAAGGAGACAAUUUCGUUGAAUGAGUAGGUGUUCUGAGGAGGCCUGAUGUAAAGGAUUUUGUUCAAGGUUCUAGGAUCAUCCGCAGCUUUAAUGGUAUAGGUGCCAAUGUCAUCCUCCUUGUUAAAAACAGCUGGAGAUGCAAAAAUGAAAUGAGUAAAAUAGAGUAGAAUCAUCUUCCUAUUCCUUCAAGCUUGGACUACUCCGUAAUUCCACUUUUUUUGUUUACAGAACACAAACUUGAAAUUAUUUUGAUAUGAAACCAAGUUAUUGUUUUCAUUUAAUGCUCAUGUCAAAAACUCUCAGCUGGAGAGCAACCCAAGAGGACUGUCAAUAUAAAAAAAGAGGCUUUAGCCCAUCCAGUUCAGAUAAUAAUGAUUAAUUACUAGAAGUGCACAAUGGUUCCUCAGUUUGACCACUCCAGGUCACAUGGAUCAUGCUAGUUUCCUGUAUUAUGGCUCAAUUGCAAUGUAGCACCCAAGCAGUCAACCUCAACUGUCGGAAGGUUUUGUUUCUGGGUGAACGGGUUUAACCAGCUGGGGAAAGGGGGAGUGGGGUGGGGUUGUCCAGGUUUCAAAUAGCCACAUUCUGAUUUUCAGGAAUAUAGACCAUUCUCACCUCAACAACGCUGGCAACCCCAUCAAUUUUUUUGCCUGGAGAAGGAUAAUAUGCAGCUAUUGGUUGGUGAAAUGGUAAAUUACACUCUCAAAAGGAUUCCAUGCUCAUCUACAUAACCCGCUGAUUAGUAUUACUUUUUAAGCCCACUAUCAUCAGAUGUCACUGAUACAUGGACCGGUGCAUUCUAACAUCAAAACGAGAAAAUGCAAUGGGAAAUUAAGUUGUAUGAUUUUCAGAGGUUGCUUACCUUUUGGAUUCCCAUCUCCUAAAAUAAUAACUUUAUCCCUGGGGGGAGCGGUGGCUCCAGGCUGUGAAAAUGUAGGAAGGAAAAAGCCAGCAAAUGUGUUGGAGGACACAUAGGUGUAGGGAAUUCCUUCAGCCUCAAUAGUGCGGCGGAUUUGAGCCUUUAUCUCAAAGGCUGUUUUUGCUGGCUCAACCGCAUGUACACGGUCCACAUCAUUUCCAAACUCUGAUGGGAAGAAUCUCUGGAUGAAAUAAAGCACUUUAAGAAGAAGCUGUAUAACUCAAUAGAUUGAAAAACGGGUCAUAUCUAUUUAGUCAUAUUAGCUCACGACAGGGAUCCUAUAUGGGAUACACUUUGACGAACUUGAUACAAGUGUUCAGCAACCAUAAAGACAUACAAUUAGCAAUUCAAACGAUGGAAGGAAAGAGUGCACUGAUCAGGAUUCUUAAAAAGUGAAAGAAAAAACCAUGUAAGAAAUGUGAAAAAAAAAACUACCAAACUUCAUUCAUAGAAGGAAAAUGCGCACUAAUCAGGAUGCUUAGAAGAUGGAAGAAUAAAAACUAAAUGAAAACAGGAGAAAAAAAAAAAAAAAAACUUCAUUCUUGUUUAGUUGUCUUGCUGCUUUUUGAAGCCUUUUGUAUACCAUUUGUCUACAUUGGGUGUGCUGUCUUUUUUUGUUAGGCGCUUCUCUGUUAAUAUAGUUUGUUUUUAGCCUAUCAAAAAAAGGGGGGGGGGGGGGUGGUGGUUGUGGGUGUAUACAAUGGAUUGGAAGUGGUAUAGCAUGCCCCAUGAAAGGGAAUUAGUAUUUAAAAUUUUUUCCUUUUUACAUCAAAAAUUAAGAUUGACUUUAAAGCAUCGAUCCAACCUGAGUCAAUGCACAUGGAUCUAGACAAGAAUCAAGAUUGUUGAUCCUCAAUGAAUAUUGUAUAUAUGGAAUGUUCUUUCAUGCACUUCCAACAUUUCUAAAGAAGGUAUUAUUACAUUAUGCACAAAGGAUAAAGAUAUCACCAACAAAUUAUAACAAAUUCCAAUAAUAAAUAUCAUAGUACUCGGAUUUGCAAAGAAAAGAGGGAAUUAGAAAGAAGAAAAGGAGAAAAGGAGAGAAAUUUCGUCAAUUUGGACAACUUUACCUUGACAUUUCCAGCUUCUUUGAUGGCAGCAAUGAUCUUGACUUGAUCCGACAACUGUGCGCGACCAACGGUCGAGAUGACCACAUCCACUAGAUUAAUCGCCUUCACCAAACUCUCGUGAUCGUAUAGAUCACCCUGCAACAUAACAUAACCAAUCAAUAAACUAUUUCAUAACCCUAAUUCCCCAGUUAAGAAGUAAGAAUCCAAAAGCAGGUGUGUUUUUUCACUUUACUGAAACCAAAAUAACUUAAAACAUAAACAUCCGAACUUUUCUUUUCCUGAGGAUCGCCACUUUUUUCUUUCUGGAUGAAUGAAGAAUUCCAGUUUUCGUUUUUUUAGGAACUUAAACAUCCAAAAAUUCAAGAACUCCAAUUAAUUUCAUUCAUUUUCUCGGCGGCCAAAAGAAGCAAAAAUUAGAAAACCAAGAAUAGCGAGAAAUGAGAGCGAAUAUUACGUACAUACACCAAAGUCACGCCGGAGCUCUUGAAAAUCUCAAUGAUUUCCGACUUGGAAGGAUUCGAAACGGCGGAUUCUCUGACGAGAGCGAAGGUAGGGUGACCGGACUUAGCGCUGGCAGCGACGAUGAAUUUUCCGAUGUAGCCAGUGCCGCCGAUUAUGAGAAUCUUGCUCUUUUCGGACAUUGUGAGCUUUUCCGGCGAAUCUCCCGCGAGAAAUGUGGAAUUGAGAGGACUAAGCGAAAGGUGACUGGAGAGUUGGUGGGCACCAACGGCCAAAGACAAUGCUCUUGUAGGACAGAGCUCGAGGAUAUUAGGAUUAUGUAAUUACGGAACUAGCCUUGUGUUUUGGUGGUAAUCUCCGUUUUGGUUAUAUUUUGAAUGUGGCUUGAUUUUUAUGUGAUUCAUGAAUGUGUCAAAGUUCGCUUGUUUGAAAAUUGGUUUAGAUUGGAAAGUGAAAAAGUGUAUAUCACAUGAGAGAUUUAUAAAUAGAAAAAAAUGUAUUUUCACACACUAAUGUAAAAAUAAUUACAAAAUAAAAACUCUUUAAAUAAUUAUAAAAUAAAAACCCUUUAAAAAUAAUUUAAAUUUUAUGCACUCAUCGAGUACAUGAAAUGAUAAUUUAAUAUAGUUAUGUGUAACGACCCGCUCUCCCAAUAAUGACUCCCCUAGCUUUAAAAAAACGUCUUUAGGAUUAAGAUUGAUACUAUUUAUAAUAACUCGUAAAACCUAAAAAGGUCAUCACGACUUUAAAAUGCGUUUGCAAGAUUAAAAAAAAAUAAAAAAAAUUAUACUUAGAUAGUGUUAGGAACUUUCUCCCCUAUCUGAUGUGUGAUGUUACAAAUAUCCCCCAUGCAGACACAACAUCCUUGUUGUAUCUCAUGGAAUUGUGGAAUUAGAAUGAUAAUUUAAUGUAAUUAUGUGUAACGAUCCACCCUAUUUGAUGUGGGAUGUCACAAAUAUCCUCAUGCAGACACAACGUCUUUGUUGUAUCUCAUGGAAUUGUGGAGUUAAAAUGAUAAUUUAAUGUAGUUAUGUGUAAUGACUCGUUGUCCCAAUCAUGUAGAUAUUAUUCGUUUUGGACCCAAAAAAUGACUUUCCUGACUUUAAAAAAACGUCUAUGUGAUUAAGAUUGAUAUCGUUUAUAAUAACUCGCAGAACCUAAAAAGGUCCCCACGACUUUAAAAUGUGUUUACAAGAUUUUUAAAAAAAAUUAUACUUAUAUAGUGUUAGGAACUUUCUCUCCAUAUGAUGUGAGAUGUCACAAACAUCCCUAUGCAGACACAACGUCCUUAUUAUAUCUCAUGGAAUUAUGGAGUCAAAUAGACAAACACUCCCUAUGAGGCAAACAAACUCCCACACCGAAAUCAGAGAUCAAUUCCGAUAUUAUUUGUAACGAUCUACUCUCAAUUAUAUAAAUAUUGUCCAUUUUAAUCCGAAAGGGCAUUACAGUUUUAAAACGUGUGUACAGGAUUAAGAAAAGCCUUUACAUAUACAGUGUCAUGAUUUUUUUUUUCCUAUCGGAUGUGAGAUGUCAUAUUAUGAAUCCGUCAUUCUGUCUUUAUUCAUUUGUUGCAUUUAAGAUAUUUGAAAAAUUGAGCGAUUUUAUAAAAUGAGUUUUGAAAAGGCAUGAGAGAAGGAAAAAGAUACUAGUUUAAUUAAGGCUUACAACCCGGUCUUCUUAAAGGGUGGUUAAAUUCCCUGCCUAUUAAAUUUCUUAUCAGGUCGUUAGUCAAUGGAUCUAUUAAAUUCUAGUAUGACUUUGUAGAGUAGUAAUUACUCCAUGGGUGAGUAAUUAUUAAUAUGUAGCUGGGAUCAUUAGUAUAUUUUACUACAUUUCCAAUAGAAAAUGCUACCUCAAAUAAGUUACAUGUCUCCGCGAGACACUCAAGAAUUUCAGCAUAUUCCAAGACUUGACUUCCAAGUUAGCCAAAAGACAUGGAUAUGAGAUUUCAAUUGAAAUGAUUAAACCUUUUUAGAAUGUUUUCACUAUAAUUUCAUCGGCACAAAAAAAUAAUUAUAAAACACUAAAAUCUCUUUUAAAAACAUGUCUUUUAUUUUUAAAUUUAAACACUUACUCAUCAUUUUUAUUAGGAAUGAUAAUGAGACAAGUUUUUUUAGAUAUUUGUCUGCCUUGUUCUUAAUGAAAUGGGUUUAAAAUUUAAAUAAACGAAAUUAGAAUGAAUUUGGGAUUUUUUUAAAAACUUGGUACUAGCUAUUGUCUUUUCUCAUCCUAUCUAAAUUAUAUAUAAAAUUAAUUUAGUUUUAUUUUUAUUUCCCUAUUUGAUAUAUAUAUAUAAUUAUUUAUAAAAUACAUUUAUUUUAAUGUAAUUAAAUUUAAAAAAAUCAAAAUAAAUAAAUAAAUAAGACGAGAUGGGCAUGAAAAAUUCACAUACCUACCUUAUUUAAUUUUUUAAAUAAGAUAGAAAUGAGAAUUAUUUUGAAUAAACAAGAUAAGGUUGAAAUGAGAUCAACUCGUCUUAAACUAGUCUCGUUGCUAUCUCUAUUUUUUAUACUUUUUUAGUUGAAAGGGAUAAAUGAAUUAAAGUUAAGGAUUAAGAUUAAAUAUUCUACUUUACAAAAAAAAAAAUGAGACUAUUAAAUAUUAUUAGAAUUUUAUCAACUAGUCAUAAGAGUUUAAAAAAGAAAAUAUUGAUGAACAAUUCGUAGGAGGAAAUGAAUUGAGAAUAAAUUGACCUAGUGAACCUUCAGUUGCAUUGCCUCCUACUAUGUUCCACUUAUUCAGAAACGAAAGAGAAAGGAUGAGGGAUCUAUAACUAUAAGUUAAAAGGACAAAGGAUCAGGACAAAUAGAGGAUAUAUAUUAUGAGAUAUUAUUUCUAAUAGAAUAUGAUAUUUUAAAAUAUUGCAUUUAAUAUCAUUUAGAAAUUCUUCUCUUAUUUUUAUUUUAAUAAAUAAUUUUUAGUAUUUUAGUAAUAAUGUUUAUGAUUAUAAAUAAUAUAUAUAUAUAUAAAAUUAUAUUAUAUACUAAUAUGCUAAAUAUUUAAAAGCAUUACUAGUAAUUAAAUGAUACUAUAUAUUAAUAUGAUCAUUAUAAAUUUUAUUAUACAUAUAUUUUUUAAUUCUUUUAUUAAGAAGAAUAAAUUUAUAAUGUCAGUUAUACCUUAGGAUUGUUGUAUUUAACAUAUAGAGAUACAAAAGCGAGGAAAAAUGCAAAAGAAACUAUGAUUGAGUUAUUCUAUCAUUUACCGACCAAACAUGAUACAAAAUAUAUUAUCUCAUCUUUUAUCUUAUAUUAUAUUAUAUUCAACAAACUAAACAUAACAUAAUAGACCGACAUUCUAUCAAAUUUCUCGUAUUGUGAUUUUAAAACUUGAAUAGUUCAUGAACUAAACAUUAUUGCCUUUUCUUGUCUCAAUGGAAUAAGCGUUUUAAUUGUUCUAUAUGCAUUUCUUCAUCAAGCUCCCUCUUUUGAGCUAGAAAUAUUAUAUUAGGAGCUAGGUACUCCUUUUUGUAUAGCUCCAUCUCUAAUAAGGUACCAAAGAAGAUAAACUACAAAGGCAAAGAAAAUCUAAUUCCAGAAACUUCUACUUGCAUAAGAUUAGAAAGGCACAUUGUCCUAUUACAGAAUAUGCCCAAUGGCAUAGACAAGGAAAUAACCCACUAUUUUCCACACAACAUAUAUUAAGACAGCUGCACAUGUUUGCUUGUUUAGAUAGUGCAGCAUGACAGUGAAAACUACCAGGACCGAAGUCUACCUCUCAAACAAGCUGGUUGAGCAACUCAUCCACAGUUGUGUAUUUGACAUCGGGAUAUAGCUCUGAAGCCUCCACCCCAAAUGAUGGCUCGAUCUCAAAGUUGGUUUGGUCUCCCUUAAUGAAAACAGAGUGAUCGAUUGAUAAUAUUGCAUUGAGUGGAGCAGAGGCUUCUGCAAGAAACAGAGGAAAACCCAUCAAUAUGAAGAUUUUAGCCAUCAGAUCAACUAUAUAAACAGAUUUUGGGGCGAAAAUAGCCUCUAUAACUGAAAAAUUAUCAUAUGUGGAUACCUUCUUUAACUUAUUAUCAAGCUAGGCCUCUUCAUGUCACCUUGGAGUCAUUUAAUUUAAUUUUUUCCUUUUUAAAUGUAAGUUGAAAAUGCAUUUUGAAAAGAGUGUUUGGACACACGAGUCAAAAUAAUUAUCAAAUUGUAAAAAUAACCCUUUUUUCAAUUUUGUUGAGAGAUCCCAGCAGUCAAAAUAAUCAUAUAAUCAAACCCAGUCUUUUUCUUCCCAACCUUUUUUUUUUUGGCCUUAUCUUAAACUUGCUCUAUUUCUUUUUCAUUUAAGACACUCCAGAAAAACUCAAUCUCAUUUCAUAAUGUCCCACUGAAUUUUCUUAUCUCUCAAACAACUUCUCAUUCUCAUUCGUGAUGUUCACCUAAAGUGUUCUAUGAUUAAAUUUUAUUUAUUACGAAUUUAACUAAGGUGAAAUUUUCAUUAAGAUUGGUUAGCUGAAUUGCACUAGUGUUAUGUUUGGUUGUAAAAAACUUAGUUAGAGUUAAAUUUUCAAUCAUAAUAGUAAUAUGAACUCCACUAUGGUUAAGUUUUAUUUACAAAAAACUUAAGUGGGGUUAGAUUUCUAUUUCAUCUACAAAGAACCUGAUUAUGGUAACUUGAACAAUCCUCUGGUUAAGUUUCAUUUAGAAAGAACUUGAUCAGGGUUAAGUUUCCAUUUCACCUAUAAAGAACUUAAGUAAGAUCAAGGUCUUAAUUAAAAUGUUCAUUUGCAUUGAACUACCAAAACAUCGGACUUAGUAAAAACAAAGUUAGAUGAGAGAUCUAGUAAAUGAUAAGUUUCUAUCUGAUCUCGUCGUCAACAUUGUAGAAGUUCAAAUGAAAUUGCAAAAUAACCCUAAUAAAAAAAAAAUUAGAAAAAACCUCUAACCAAAAACAAUGACAAAAAACAAAACUAAAAACAAAGAGAAAGACGAGAUUCGAUCUCAUUUUCGUCACUAUAGAAACUUACAUGAAACUACAAAAAACCUUAGCAAAAAACAACGACGAAAAACAAAGAGAGAUGGAGAUCUGACCUCAUCUUCUAUAUUGUAGAAGUUCAAAUGAAGUUGCAAAACCCCUAACAAAAAACAACUCCUAAAAUUUGAAAUAGAUAAGGCUCUAAUCUUUGUUCAAGGGUUUGAACUUCACCAGAAAAAGAGAUAGAACAUGAACUUAGAGAGAAGGAGAAGGCUAGGUAUAAAAAAAUGGAAGGGGCAUUUUUGGAGGAAAGAAAGAAGAGUAAAAAUGUCCAAAAUUGGUCAUUUCUCAAAGGGAAGUCAUUAUUUCGAUUUUAAAAGCAUUUUAGUCGACUUCAAUCGAGGUCCGGGGCAUGAUCACCAGAUUUUACCAGCAGGUCAGCUAACAUUUUCUAAGUUAAAAACAAUUUAACCAAGAACCAAUUUCAUUUUAACAAUCUAGCAUAAAGAGAAUGUUCUAUUCACAAUCUCUGUUCCAAUUUAAAUUCACUAGGAAAACCAAAACUUGAACACUUCCAAAAAGGAAAAUGUUUCUCACUAACCUUGGAUGUUCUUCAGAACUUGCUCCUCUGGAACGUAUAUCUUCUCAAGGGUUUUUCCAAUCUUCUUCUCCCACAAGGAGACAAUUUCGUUGUAUGAGUAGGUGUUCUGAGGAGGCCUGACGUAAAGGUUUUUGUUCAAGGUUCUAGGAUCAUCCACAGCUUUAAUAGUAUAGGUGCCAAUGUCAUCCUCCUUGUUAAAAACAGCUGGAGAUGCAAAAGUGAAAAUGAGUAAGAUAGAAUAGAAUCACCUUCUUAUUCCUUCAAGCUUAGACUACUCUGUAAUUCCACCUUUUUUCUUUUACAAAACACAAACUUAAAAUUAUUUUCAUAUGAAACCAAGUUAUUGUUUUCAUUUAAUGCUUAUUUUUUCAAAAACUCUCAGUUGGAAAGCAAACCCCAGAGAACUGUUGAUAAAAAAAAGAGGCUUUAGCCCAUCCUGUUCAGUUUAAAACCCAAUAAUAAUUAUUAGUUACUGGAAAUGCAUAAUGGUUCCUUCAGUUCAACCCCUCCAGGUCACCUGGAUCAUGCUAGUUUCCUGGAUUAUGGCUCAACUGCAGUGUCACACCCAAGCAGUUGACCCCAGCUGUCCGGUUUUCAAAUAGCCACAUUUUGGUUUUCAGGAAUACAGACCAUUCUCACCUCAACAACACUGGCAACCCCAUCAAAUUUUCUGCUUGGAGAAGAUAAUAUGCAGCUAGUGGUUGAUGAAUGCACAUUCAAAUAACCCAUUGAUUAGUAUUACCUUUUAAGCCCACUAUCAUCAGAUGUCAUUGAUCAUGGGAGCGAGUGCAUUCUAAGGUCAAAAGAAGAAAAUGAAACAGAAUUUCAGUUGUUUUACGAUUUUCAGAGGUUGCUUACCUUUUGGAUUACCAUCUCCUGGAAUAAUAAUUUUAUCCCUGGGGGGACCAGUGGCUCCAGGCUGUGAUAAUCUAGAAACGAAAAAGGCAGCGGUGGCUUCAAGCUGUGAUAAUCUAGGAAGGAAAAAGCCAGCAAAGAAGUUGGAGGACACGUAGGUGUAGGGAAUCCCUUCAGCCUCAAUAGCGCGGCGGAUUUGAGCCUUUAUCCCAAAUGCUGUUUUUGCAGGGCCAACCGCAUGGAUACGGUCCACAUCAUUUCCAAACUCUGAUGGGAAGAAUCUCUGGAGGAAAUAAAGCACUUUGAGAAGAAGUCAUAUGACUUGAUAGAUGAAAAACCACUCAUAUCUAUUUAGUCAUAAUAGCUCACAGACAGGGAUCAUCCAUGGGAUACACUAUGAUGAACUUGAUACAAGUGUUCAGCAAGAAUAAAGUUACACUUAGCAAUUCAAAUGAUGGAAGGAAGAAGUGCACCGAUCAGGAUGCUUAAAAAGUGAGAGAAAAAACUAAAUGGAGAAGGUGAAGAAAAAAGCUACCAAACUUCAUUCAUGAAAGGAAAAAGUGCACCAAUCAGGAUGCUUAAAAAGUGGAAGAAAAAACUAAAAGAAAAAAGGUAAAAAAAAAAAAAAAAAAAACCCACCAAACCUCAUUCUGUCCUGAAUCACUUCAGUUUUAAUUUUUAAUUUUUAAUUAUUUAAUUAGUGCUCAAAACAUUUGACACUAUUAAAUUAGUCAUUUGACAUAAUGUAUAUGAUGUUAUCCAAUACCCUAUGUUUGUUGCAUAAGUAUAGUCUCCUUACACAUGGGUUCAAUAAAUUGAGAAAAUGAAUAAACGGUGAAGUUUGAACAAAUGAUUUCCAACCAAAAAAAGGAUCUUAUGCCAUGUUGGACAACCGAUUUACCUAAAACUUAAGUUGUUAGGAUUUAAGCCCACGGUGUAUAUCAUGUUGCCCAUCAGUAUCUAUAUCCAACGAAAGGUCAAGAACCUCCUUGAAACGAUCCUAUUCUAACUUGCCCCUAGCUGCCAAACCCUCAAGGGCAUUAGCCUAAGGGCACAAAGUCAAUAUAGCUCAAGAACCUUCCUGAGAUGUUCCUAUUCCAGCUGACCCUAGCGGCUAGAUCUUCAAGGGCAUUAGCCUAAGGGUGCAAAGUAAAAACCAAGUUUGAGAACCUCCUUGAAAGGACCCGAUUAUAAUUGGUCCCUGGCAGCUAGGCCUUCAGGGACAGAGCAUAUGAGUGUAAAGCCAUUCCAGGACAAGAACCUCCUUAGAAGGACCCCAUCACAAUAGACCCCUAUUGGAGCCUAAGAACAAAAAAUGAAUAAUCAUAUGAAGAAAUAAUAAAACAAAGCAUAAAAGAUAGAAGAGAAGAUAAAAAUAACAAUAUCCUAUGCCACCUCAUUGUCCCCUCCUUCCUUGGAUGAUGCCUCGCUUUUAUCAUUGUCCUCCUCAUCGAUUUCCCCCAAGGCCUUCAUUCGACCCAUGAGCUUGUCGACUUUCAAAAAAUGCUCUUGCAUUAUUGAACCUUAUGAAUAAAAUUAUCUUUUACCACUGUCCACAAAUGAUUUUUUUUUUAAAAGAAUGGCUUUGUCUUAGAGUUCUAUCCUUUUCUUUCUGUUUCUCAUGGAUAAAAAAAACCCCAACCCAAAUAUUUUUUUAUAACAAGGAUAAUUUUUUAUACCUAAAGAAUUAAAAUCGACUUUCAAACACCUAAGCGUUGAGACUCAACUCAAUCCAACCUCAGUCAAUUAACAUGGAUCCAGCAAGAAAAGAUUGUUCAUCCUCAAUGAAUAUUGUGAAGAUGGAAUGUUCUUCCAUGCCUUUUCAACACUCUCAACAUUUCUAAAGAUGGUAUUACUACAUCAUGCGCAAAGGAUAAAGGAAUUACCGACAAAUUAUUACAAAUUCCAAUAAUAAAAAUCAUAGGAACUUGUAUUUGCAAAGAAGAGAUGGAAAUAGAAAGAAGAAAAGGAGAGGAAGAGAUUUCGUCAAUUUGGACGACUUUACCUUGACAUUUCCAGCUUCUUUGAUGGCGGCAAUGAUCUUGACUUGAUCCGAGAACUGUGCGCGACCAACGGUCGAGAUGACCACAUCCACUUGCUUAAUCGCCUUCACCAAACUCUCGUGAUCGUGUAGAUCUCCCUGCAACAUAACAGAACCAAUCAAAAAACUAUUUCAAAGCUGUAAUUCUUCAAUAAGAAGUAAGAAUUCAAAAAUUGGUGUGUGUUUCCACUUUGCUGGAACCAAAGCAAAUCAAAACAUAAACAUCCAAAAUUUUCUUUUCUUUUCCUGCGAAACACUACUUUUUCUUUCUUUCUGGAUGAGUGAAGAGUCUCAGUUUUCUUUUUCUUAGGAACUUAAACUUCCAACUCCAAUGAACUUCGUUCAUUUUCUCCGCGGCCAAAAGAAACAAAAACUAGAAAAGAAAAAAUGGCGAGAAAUGAGAGCGAACAGUACGUACAUAUACCAAAGUCACGCCGGAACUCUUGAAACUCUCAAUGAUUUCCGACAUGGAAGGAUUCGAAACGGUGGAUUCUCUGACGAGAGCGAAGGUAGGGUGACCGGACCUAGCGCUGGCAGCGACGAUGAAUUUUCCGAUGUAUCCAGUGCCGCCGAUGAUGAGAAUCUUGCUCUUUUCGGACAUUGUGAGUUUUUCCGACCAAUCUCCGGCAAGAAAUGUGGAAUUGGAAAAGGCUAGCAAGCAGUAAGCAAUGACGACUGACGAGUAGUGCAGUACUGCAGUGUUCUUAUAUAACAAAGCUUGAGGCUAUAUAGAUUAUGUAAUUACGAAACUAGCCUUUUCUUUCAGCAGUAAUUCCCGCUUUGGUCAUCAUAUGUAUGUGGCUCGAUCUUUGUAUGAUUCACGUGUCCCGAUUCAUAUUUGUUUGAAAAUCGGCUUAGAUUAGUCCAAUUUACAAGACUACACCAUCUUUAAUUUGACAAGAGCAUAUAAUAUAUAUAUAUAUUGUAGCAAUCAUUAAUAUUUUAUUUUAUUUUUGGCACGUGUAAUUUUAUCUCUAGCUCCCAUAUCUUAUUUUAUUGCACACUUUUGACUCCGUUUGGCCAUAUUGAUAUAUAUCAUAGAUUUGCCUUAGAUUUUGGUUAAUAAAAUUUUAAUCAUUAUUGCACGUUUUUAUUCUCCACCCAUGUUUAAUAGUAUAUUUUAGAGACUUAUCGUGGAUAACCACCCCUUCACCUCUCCUACUGAAUUGUCAUUUGAUAUUGCUUGGGGAUCCCACAGAGUUGUCUAGUUGAUAGGUUGAUAAAAUUUACAUGCACGGUCAUUUUCAUGUCCUUAAAGCAAAUACAAAUUAAAAUGUGAUCGAUUGAUGCUAAGAUUUGAAUUUAUCUAUUUAAUAUAAAAUUGUCAUGGUCAAAUGUUUAUUGCUACUCCACGAUAGAAUGAUGAUUUUUAUUUUUGUGACAGUAACAUUUCAAAUUAUAAAAAACAAUGAAUUAAACAAUAUUUUUAUAUUCUUUACAAAAUCUUGGAUGUUUAAAAUUAGACCCUUUAAAUAGACACGUGACUUAAAUGGAAUACCAUAUUUGGGAAUGCACUACACUUAACUUGGAUUGGAAUAUAAUUCAAAAUGGAUAACAAUUAGGAAUGCACCAUGCUUAUUUGGAAUUAAGGGAGAGAGGGAUGACUGUUGGAAUCAUGAAAUGUUAUGGAACGGACCCCUUUUUAAAGAUGUAGAUGUCCCUUAAAGAAACGCUUCCAUCAAAAGAGUUGCACCUAACUAAUAAGAGAUGGGAAUGACUUCCAAAAAAUGUAUCACUUCAUGUUGGUGGCCUUUUUAUUAAACCUAGAAGCAUGUGGGGUUAGGCUCACACAUAUCUGGUGUGGCUUGUGCACAUGUGAGCCUAUGUUAGGCCCAAGUCCACAUUCAUCUAGUUGGAUAUAUGCAUAUGUGAGUUUAUGUAAAAACCCAUGUUUUCUUUUAAGCUUACAAAAUACUUGUAAAGUACCUUUUCGACUAGUGAUCUUCUAAGAAACGCUUCCAUCAAAAGAGUUGCACCUAUCUAAUAAGAAAUGGAAAAGGCGUCUAAAGAAGAUCUCACUUUAUGUUGUUGGUGACCUUUUUUCAAUGUUUUUAAAAUUGGACCGAUUAUUAAAUAUAAAAAAAUUACUCAUUCACGGUUCAUUAAUCGGACUGACAGUUGAACCAGUAACGUCAUAAAUAUAUAAUUUAUAAAUUAUUAAAAUAAAAAUAAAAAUGUAUGUAUUGUUUAAAAAUUAAAAUUUUAUUUGAAAAUCAGAAAAUUAGUUUUAAAAUUAAAAUUAAAAUUAAAAUCAUGGGGGGGAGGGGGAGGGGAGGGGGUUCGUUCUGCCAGUGAGAGAGCGACGUCCGACCAAUCAGCAAUUGACGAUAGUGGGAAGAAGCAGCUAGGGUAGUAGGGUAAGAGGGGUUAUUGGAAAAAAUAAUAAUAAUAAAAGAAAGGUUGAACGGUUCAAUGGUCAAAUCGUCGGUUCAAUCGGUCUAAUUCUGGUUUGACUACUUUUCGACCUAAUUCAUCAAACCAAACCGAAAUUGUGACUUGCUGGUUCGAUCCAAUUUUUAAAACCGUGUAUUUUUAUUAAACCUAAAAGGUGGGUGUAGGAUCACACCUAUCCAAUGUGGCUUGUGCACACGUGAGCCUAUGUUACGCCCAUGUACACAUUCAUCCAAUUAGGUCCAUGCAUAUGUGAGUUGAGGUUAAAAACCAUGUUUUCUUUUUACCUUACAAAAUACUUAUAAAGUACUUUUUCUGACUACUAAUCUUCUAAUGUGGGAUUGCUUUUUUCCACCACAUUCCACAUGAAUGCAUAGGUAACUUUGAGCUCAAUUUGUCAUUAACCCAUAAAUGGUUUUGAGUAUGUAAAUUUCUUAUCCACCAAUACCUACUCGUGCAGACGUUAUUGGUUAUCAUUUGGAGAAAGGUGUCCAACCUAUUGAUUGUUGUAAUUUAGAUUGUCCCAAUUCUAAUAGUUGUGGUUUUAAGGCCUAGAAUUGUUUCGUUGAUUCUCAUCUUAACCCUUCUCUUUAUUCAAUGACUUCCCUUGAAAGUAUUAUUUGAUGAUCUCCUAUCAGGGGGUUGGUCUCUUUCUUAUCUUCUCUUCUUUUUAAAUAGUCCAUUACCUUAUCAUGCAAUUCUUUAAAUGAGAUAGCAGUAUCACAAGCUCUCACAACAACAGUGGUCUCUUUGUAUUUUGAACCUAAUUCAUUGAGAGUGUAAACCACCAGAUCAUCAUUGUGCAAGAGUGAACUAAUAAUAGUAAGUUCAUCAACAAUACUUUCGAAGAUUUGGAUGUAUUCACUAAUAGUUUUUUGUUCUUUGAUCGUUUUUAUAGCCUUUCCCAUGAGGUUAGGAUGCAUGACCUUGAGUAAUUGGCAUUAAGUUUUUUUGGGUGAGACCAUGACUCUAAUGCCUUAGUAGCACAAACCACAAAACAAAAAUAGACUCCAAACUACAAUCUAACAUGAGAUGAAAUAACAAAUUAUUUUAAGGUUAAUUUUGUUGACUUUCCAUGAGGUUUUGACUAAAUAUAUUUAGUUCAUAUUAGUUUGAAAUUUCAUCAAAUACCUCCUCUACCCUUCUCACAAAUUAUUUCACUUACCUGUCUUCUAACUCAAAAUAAAGGAAGUAUUUGACGAUAUUUUAAAUUUAUAAAAACUAGGUAUAUUUAACCAAAACUUGAGGGAAAGUAAGUGAAAUUAACCUAAUUAUCUUACUUUUAAUAUAGCCAAUAUUCCAUAUCUCGUAUUGGUACUUUCCUUCUCCUUUCAAAUUGUUGUAGAAGGGCAAAGAUAUGACCGUUGUUACAUGUGCUAAAUCAUAGUAGUAUAUAAAGAAGCAUGCGGAACUAAACUCUUCACAAUGGAAAGUUUUUAAUCGUAGUUACAUCACUACAUCAAUCAACUCUGUGGUGCUAAUUUGGUAAAAUGUCAAAAGACUUUGACCCAUUAAAGGUAAAAAAGAAUAAAAAUAAAAAUUUGUUGUAGCAAUGGAUACUCUAAAACCAUAAAUACAAAGAAUUUAUAUAACCUAUCACUCGUAUUAUUUUACAUUGUAUAAGUUUACAAUAGAAAUGAUCGACUAAAUAUACAUUGGUAAUAUUAUAGCUUAGGGUCAAAUGUCAUGCGUUAUGAAUGUAAAGAAAAAUUGAACUUGAUGAUUUGGUUGAGCCUUUAUUUGCCAUUAAUAUAUGCCUUUAUGGACUGUCCACUGUAAAUUCCUUUCACUCCUCUCAUUGAAGAAUGAAACUCCACACUUUAUUCAAGUUUAAAAUGUUUUCUUGCAUAUUAAGGAGGAAAUUAAAAAAUAAAUAAAUAAAUAAAGGAAAGGAAAAUGAUCCGUUAAAAAACUAUAUUAUGAAUGUUAGAUAUCUUAAAAAACAAAAAAAUAUAUAUUUGUAGACCCCAUUUUGGGGAGCUGUCAUUUUUCUCACGUUUCCUUUCUUGCAGCUAGCUGUGGCCAAGUGUCACCAUCUUGCAUGGCCACGUGUCACUCCCGGAUUAGUCAAUAUGGGAUCAAAAUAGUGGAAUUGAUGGACCCAUCAGAGGAAGACACCUGGAAAGUGAAGAACAUUCUGGAAUCAGGGGAGCGUAUCUUCUGUUAUGGGAAGGUUGCCAGCUGCAGGAGUAGAGGAGUGGAGGCUGGUUGCUGCAGAGAGAGUGGAGGCUGGCAGAGGAGUGGAGGAGAGGUUUUGCUUUUGAAAAGGCCGUUAGAGAUAUUUUUAGGAUGAGGCAGCGGCAUUGAAGGGGAGAGUUUGGAGAGAUUCUUGAGGAGCAAGCUAGAUAUUGAAAAGAGAGAACGAGACAGAGAGAGCUGCAUUGAGAGGGAGGGAUUUCUUUUAAGCUGAGGCUGGUUGCUGCAGAGAGAGUGGAGGCUGGCAGAGGAGUUUUGGAGAGAAAGAGAAGGGUUUUUGGAGAGAAAGAGAAGGGGUUUUGGAGAGAAAGAGAAGGGUUUUUGGAGAGAAAGAGAAGGAGUUUUGGAGGGAACAGAGAGCUAGAGGGGGAGGAAAAACACUAGGAAGAAAAACAGAGAAAUCAGAAGAGACGGUUUUGGGUAGAGGAGGUUAUCAAGAACCAGAAGAAAAGGGCCUCCAGGUUCUUUUUGAGGGGUAAGUUUUCCACUGUGUUCUUGUUCUUUCUUUUUCUCUUCAUAUAUUGUUGUUGAGAUGCAUUGUUGUUGAUCUUUGGAUGGGUUAUACUCUGUUCUUCAUGGUUGACUGCUCCCCUUUUGCUUCUGUUUAUGGCUGAAAAUUGAUUUAAAUCCAUUUUUACCUUCUUUGUGGCAUUUUAAAGAAAGAAAAAGACCUUUUAAUUCACCCAUCUGCAAACCCACUAAUGAAGAGGUGAAGCAUAGUUCUUCAUGCUUCAUCUCAUUUUUCUUCCUCCAUGGCUCUGUUUUUGCUACUUUUCUCUCUGCUCUUCGUGUUUGGACUUUCUUGGAUAUGAAGCCGUAAUGGGGAGUGAGGCUAUGGGAUGACGAGACAGUGAGGGAUUUGGACUCCUUGAAUCCGUUUAUCCUGUAAAGGCUACUAAGGGCUUGGUAGAUCAAUGUUUGAGCAUAUGAACAGAGAGUGGUCUACACCGGGGAUACCAUUAUUGCCAGUGAUCCGUGUGGCAGAGGUUAGUGGGCUGUAGAGAGGGGAUCCUUUCUGACGGAGCAAAGGAACAAGAGAUGAAUUCAUGGGUUUUCUGAAUUGUUUUCACUAAGAAGGAGUUCACCCAGUACUCUUAGGCCUAAGAAGCUCGGCAUUUCUUUGCAAACAUAAGAAGCACAGGCUGGAACUAUGGAGGCCAUAGGUUUUACAUGGUAAAAAAGUGGGUUGACUGAGGAAUUGAGAAAGAAAUAAAGCAAGCAAAGCCGUCAUCGAAUGACGCCGGCGGCGAAGCGCCUCCACUUUGACUACGUCGUGCCCUCAGUUAUCGACUCUAACCACCGCUUCUCUAGUCUACGCGUGUCGCCGGAAGACUUGACGCUGAUCGUUUCUCUGCCUCUCUUUAUUUUCGGCUCUGUCAGGGGUCGAAACUCAUCCUCCGCUGGCGAUUGCGACGAGUGUCUCUCCUAGCUUAAGCCUCACGAUCAGCUUCGGCUGUUCCUGAUCUGCCGUCACGCUUCCCAUGCUCUAUACAUCAACACGCUGCUGGCAUCCAGUCAGGCAUGUCCUUGUAUCGUGUUCCGCAGGGAAUUCUGGGCCUGAUCUGCUCACUGUGGUGAGUGUCGCGCCAUGGAUUUUAACUGAUGGUGUCCCGACGAUUGACAAGAAGUUUUCCGGUGGAUGUGGUUCUUGGCGACGGAAGAAUCUUCGGUGGUGUGUCUAUGUACUUCGGCGAUCCUCUAAAGGACACUAAUCUCCCCAUUAGUUUACGCUGGUGACUGUGGAAGCAGAUUCCGCUUCAUCGGAAAACCCAAUCCUUCUCAAGUGCCUGGAAAAGCAGUCAUUUGUGAUCGGAACUUCACCUCGGCGCCCAAAGUCGCAGCGUUCUCCAACUGGUUUAGACAUCGACGAGAGACAAGUUGAUUUUAAUAUAAUUUCUGGCACGUCCAUUGCAUGUCCGUACGUGAGUGGAAAUAGCGACUGUGGCAGUGUACCCAAACGGCUUCACCACUCUCAAGCAUGAUGCUCUGAGAGUUGAAUUGAAAUGGAGGGGCGUUCUCAUAUUGCAAUUGUUGUUCCUAGAACUGAUGAGUCAAUCAGUAAAUUGGUUCAGCAACCUCAGAAGUUAAUAGAUCUCCGUGAGGUUCGCGAUAUUACUCAUAUGCCAUUUGCAGAAAGAGAUGACUGAAGGGAAACGGGUUCCUCUGAAUAUUACUAAAUUUGAUUAUGAAUGUUUGAGAAAGACCGCUGACAGUCAAGCAUAUUAAGGGGAUCCAUAUAAAGAAUUGUGGGUGUCCUUUGUUGACCGAGUUGGUCUUAGUCACAGAUAUCCUCAUCCAUGGCUGCUGAUAUAUCUCCUAAUUCUUCUUGAUGCUGCGGAAGAUAUUGUUGAAAUAGGAAAAACUGGGUGGAGAGAUCAAUUGUUACUCUGAUUUGAUUUUGGAUUGAAAAGGGAUGGGUUCAUUCAUGGAGCAUGUUCUGCCAGGAACGCUGUUUCUAGCAGUGAGUUUGUGGCACAUAUGCAGCGCAGUGGUGAGAUUUGUGAUGAACCCAAAGGGGUUUCAGGUUCGGGUUUUGAACCCAGUGUCUGGUUUUGAUGGAAGGCUUAGAUACUUGGAGCUUUAUGUGGUGGCAAUCGGAGCUUUUAUUGAUAUGUGCAUAGAGUUUUUGUAUUCAACUCAUCUCAAGUUCUUUGUGAAUGGGGUCUUGAACCCAUCUCACACGAAUGACUUUGAGCACUCUGGGAUGCUUCUCAUGUUCUUUAUUUUCGGGGUCGUCGCCUUGUUCUCCCAGCAAACCGGGCUUGUUCAAAACUGAAUAACCAAUGCUCAAUAGCCUUCACAUAGCUCCAUUCUGCCCUCACAUACUUCCAGCGCGUGACUUGUUUGAAUGAGAGCGACUUUUAUUGCCAAACAGUUACUUGGGGAACCGGUGACGUUACUCCUAUUGCAGGAUUGCUUGGCAAAUCUCAAUUCCAGAUUCACUUAGGAGGGAUCCUUGGCUGCUAAUUGGAAGGCUUCAAGACAGAAGGAAGCGAAGAGUGAUGAUACCAGGGAAGUGACUCAAUUAUCUACUCUACACUUGCCCGCUCAUGGCCCCAAAAUCUCAGAAGUGGUCAAGAAGUUGGAAGACUGCAUGUUCUGAAAUUGACCUAGCCUUUCAAAUCGGGUUCCCUACAUUGAAAUAAGAAGCAGUAGCAUGAGUUAUCCUCCAGAAUGGCUCUAUUCUCUGCAUGGUGCAUGGCCACCUUUGGGCCACAGUGCCAUUUCCCAUUUCACCAUCUCUAAUUUUGAAAAAUAUUCUUUUAAAUCCCAUUCUUCAAAUAAUUUUCUAGAUUUUAGUUUGUUUUAAAAUAAUUUCAAACUCGUCCACUUUUCAUCUUUAGUUUCUUUUUCUUAGAUUCCAAAAAUCCAUUUUUCCAAUAAAAUUUUGCUACCACUUUUCUUCCUAGCAAGCCAUUUUCAUAUCUCUUCUGUUUUUUUUAAAUUGUUUUGAAAUAAGCAAGAAUUAAUUCCGUAAUUCCGAAUAAUGGAAUUUAUGGAAUUAAUUCAUGCUAAGAUAAAUGGGCUUUGGUGGGGGCCCAACAUAUGAGAUUUUAUGAUUGAUUGACUGAUUGAUUGAUUCAUUAGCUAUAUGUGAUUGAUUUAUUCUGUUCCUUGGUAUACACAUUAUCCUUCUGUGUUUGUUCACUAACCCUGUUUCUGAUAGCACGUUACGGCUCGUGGCCCCGGUACGCACUCUCUAUACCUAUUCUGUUUCUCAUAUGUGCAUAAUUGAUUCGAGUAUUCAUUGCUUUCCUCAUCAAUUGCCACAUCAGCUUCAUUUUAUUAGUAGAGACCCGAUUUUAGGGACUUAGAGGGGUGCUAUGGUCUUUACCGUACCUUCCCGAUAAGUAACCUGACCCCCGAACCCGAUCCGGUUUUUCGUAGAUCACCUUUUCCAAAUAAGGAGUCACACUUAGGGUUUUUCUUUCUUAUUUUGUUUACCCUUUUAAAAAUAAAACAAAAAUACAGCUAAAAUCGAGCUCGCCAUUGAGUGGGAAACGCAUUGAGAUAGAUCGAAAUGCGGGGUCCACAACGCGUUCUUUUAUUCUCUUUAGUUUUAUAAAAAAGAUGGUAAAAAUGUAGUGAUCUUCUUUUAGUUUCUGUUUUAUAAGUGAGAGGGGACUAAGAUAGUAUUUAUUUUUUGACUGAAUAUAAAAAAUCAAAAUAUAUACAAAUUUACUUUAAUUAUAUUGGACGAUGUUAAUAGGUUACUUUUAGCUAAAUAAAAAAAAAAUCAAAACCUUAGAAAAAUAUUUUAAGUUUUAUUUACUCAAAUCAAUGUUUCCAAAAAUAUCCUUAUUGUCAAAACUGACUUAAAUGAAAAAUAAAUAAAAAAAUAUAAGCAAAAAACAAUUUAAUAGUUUUUAAAAAUAUUAUUAAAUCAUCAUUUGGUUCCCUUUUAUUCUGUCACUUUAAUUCUUUAAAACUAAAUUUAAUUCUUUUAUAACAAUAGAACAUAGGGGCCUAAGGUUGGAAAAUGACAAUUUACCCUAUUUGAAAAAAGAAAAAUUAUAUAUUCAUUUCUAGCCAAAAACAACUUUAUAUGUAAUUGUCAUUUUUUAUCAACCCCCACCGCUGAUGCAAAAGCCUUAACCUUGAAUGGAAUUUUAAUUUCAAAGACAUUUAGCACAUAGGAUAAAAAUUGUGCAUUUCAAUGAUCAAAGCUUCAUAUCUUAAAAGGUAGGUAAAUUUUAAAAUUCAACUAAGUUAUGUCUUCAAAAGACAAUAUUUAAUUGGAUUCUUUCGAGGUGUCAUAGAAUUAGAAAUAUUUUUUGAAUUAUUAUAUUUUAAAAAAUAUAUUUUUUUAAAUUGCCUUACUUUGUUCAAAAUGCCAAGAAGCAGGCAUAGGAACUAUAACAAAGCUCCAUCUCUAUUAGGGUACCAGAGAGGAUGAAUUGAAAAGGCUAGGAAAAUCUAAUUCCAGAAACUUCUACUUGCAUAAGAUACAGAGUGACUACAGAAUAUGCUCAAUGGCAUAGACAAGGAGGCCACACAUGCUUGCUUAUUUAGAUGGUGCAACAUGACAAUGAAAACUAGCAGGACCAGAAAUUACCUCUCACACAAACUGGUCAAGGUACUCAUCCACAGUUGUGUAUUUGACAUCGGGAUAUAGCUCUGAAGCCUCCACUCCAAAUGAUGGCUUGAUCUCAAAGUUGGUGUGGUCUCCCUUAAUGAAAACAGAGUGACUGAUAGAUAAUAUCACAUUGAGUGGAAAAGAGGCUUCUGCAAGAAACACAGGAAAAGCCAUUAAUUUGAAGAUAUUUGUCAUCAUUAAGAUUAUGUUUGGUUUCCAAAAAAUUUGAGGGAAAAUGCAAGAAAAGAAAAUAGAGAGGAAAAGUGGAAAGAAAAAAAAAGAAAAAAAAUAAAAAAAAUGGAUUCAAAAUCAAUAAAUUAUUUUUAAAUGCUAUUUCAAACUCAUUUCACCCAUUUCCCCCUAUUAUAUAAAGAUUAAACAAUUUUAAAAUGUAUAAAUUUUUAAUUAAUUUUAAUUAUAAUUUAUUUUCUUUCAUAUUUUCUAUAAUGAAACCAAGCAUGAGAAAACUAUUUUCUUUAAUAUUUUUUUUAUUUCCUUAAUACUUUCCGAGAGCCAAACAUAGUCUAAAAGAUCAACUAUAUAAACAGGGGCCAAAAAAUGGCCUCAAUGGUAAAAAAAUUAUCCUAUGUAGGAACCUUCCCAAACUUAUUUUUCAAACUAGAACUCUUGAUGCCAUCUACGCCCCAUUUUUAUUUUAUUUUUUUCCUUUUUAGUCAUAAGUUGAAAAUGCAUUUCUGAUUUUAUAAAGAAGUCAAAUUUUGAGCAAUGGUUUGAAACAUGACCCAAACUCAAUAUUAUUUGACCAAAACAGGCCUUUUUUUUAUCCAAAAUUCAUAUAAACACGUAAUGCUUGCAAGUUCAACCAACUCCUCUUUCUUUCUUUUCUUUUAUUCCCUUCAUUUUUCAAAUCCAUUGAGCAACUGCAAAUUGUUAGUCUGUCAUAUGAAUCUCUAAGGAAGACCCUAAUUGAGGUCUGGGGCACGAUCAAAUGAUUUUACCAGCAGGCCACCUAAUAUUUUCUAAGUUAAAACAAUUGAAUCAAGAACCAAUUUCAUUUUAACAAGGUAGCAUAACGAGAAUGUUUCAUUCCCAAUCUCUAUUCCAAUUUAAAUUAACUAGGAAAACCAAAGUAUGAACACUUUUAAAAAAAGAAAAUAUUUCUCACUAACCUUGGAUGUUCUUCAGAACUUGCUCCUCUGGAACAUAAAUCUUCUCAAGGGUUUUUCCAAUCUUCUUUUCCCAUAAGGAGAGAAUUUCGUUGAAUGAGUAGGUGUUCUGAGGAGGCCUGAUGUAAAGGAUUUUGUUCAAGGCUCUAGGAUCAUCCGCAGCUUUAAUAGUAUAGGUGCCAAUGUCAUCCUCCUUGUUAAAAACAGC